UUUGACGCCAAAGGGCACUCCCUCGUCUUCUCGCCUGUAUCGAUCGAUCUCAACGCCGGCCGACCGGCCGCCGGAGUGUCCCUUCCGUCUCCUCCUCCCUUGCAUUCUCCUCGCGCCACCCCACCCCUCCCCGCCCGGACUGUUGGUUCACUUCGGAGUCAGUGAGCGGCCACCGUGCGAGGCUGCGGCCGUGCGGCGGCACUACGCCGCGCUCCUCUCCUCCGCGGCGCCGCCUCGCUGACGUCUCUCUCUCUGGUGGCCACCCUCCACGCUGCCGCGCUCCGGAGAGGCGCGGUCCAGCGAGGUGUCCGCGCACGGGUCGCCGCCGGACUCCGCGCGCAUACUGUUCGACGAAUUGCCCGCACCACAGACGGUGCCGGGUGGUGCUCGGCACUGUUCCGCCGACGGGAGGGGGAGAUGGAUGACAAGGCGUGCGCGAGGGCCGGGAUGGUGGGCGAGGGGAGGGAGGUGUUCGGGAGGAUGACGACGCCGGCACUGCAGCACUCUACGUCUACGGUGGAGAUGCUGGGAAGGGCAGGCGAGGUCGAGGAGGCAGAGGGGCUGAUGAAGCCGAUGGAGGCGCCCCCGGACAGGGUGAUGUGCAUGGUGCUGCAUUCCGCCUCCGGGCGCAUGGCCGUGUCGAUGUUGCUGAGAGAGAGAGUGGCCAAGUCGAUGUAUGGCAAUGCAUGAAUUUGGUCAAACUGAAUAUCAGAGGUCUCUGACACGGAUGCUUCCCUACCGCGUGCUGAACAAGAAAUCGUUCCUAUUGUGCACUGAAUUGACCAAUACAAUGGCCGUUUUCCUAUAGCUCCUCACAGUACAACUCAGGUUUUCUAUGGAGCUGAGAUGGUCAGAAGACAGGCUCUUUCCCCGAGUGACUCCGAGUUGCAGCAACCGCUUCAAAAUUCCAGUUUAUAUGGCCCUGAUGGAGCGAAUUCCGAGUUAGUCGAACGGAGAAGCAAAGCACUGGCCGUGCACUUGUAUACGUACAGAAGCUCCAUCUGGAACUCCUCUUUCGUGGCUUCUCUUCCUAAACCUAGCACCAACAGUUCGCAUAGAUGUUUGUAGUGAAGUGAAGCGUCCCGUAUUAUGUUCGACGAGGGUUGCAGCUGUAGGCAGGUACCUUGGAUUUGGUCCCUGCUGCAUCAUUUUAUCAGUUGUUUGUCGUCUCUAACGGCAACUCGCGCCGUGCCUUCCUGUUUGGAUGUGACGACCUCUUGCUGAUAAUUUUGGUAAUGUAAUCAUGCUUUGGUUUUCUGCUCAAAAGAUGUUGGAACUACACUACGCAGUGUUGAAUUAUUUCUUAUGUUGGAAUGCGUAGUGUAGUUCAUGAUC
Molecule: long non-coding RNA, 1335 nt
Organism: Triticum aestivum (bread wheat)
Lineage: Eukaryota; Viridiplantae; Streptophyta; Magnoliopsida; Poales; Poaceae
Exons: 3
Source: RefSeq, a predicted model, not a curated record